Long non-coding RNA from Hypomesus transpacificus, 2050 nucleotides. RefSeq lists it as uncharacterized. The record is from RefSeq and is a predicted model, not a curated record. Lineage: Eukaryota; Metazoa; Chordata; Actinopteri; Osmeriformes; Osmeridae. The transcript is spliced from 3 exons.
ACUCUUAUUCAUGACAGUUUUAAAAGGCACCCAUACCAAUGUUUCCACAGAUAUGAUUGAUAUCUGACCGAGCUACACCUGGGACUCGUGAUCAUCAUUAUAAUACAAUUUUGUGACUCAUCAAGUCGAGACAUAAACUUAACCAUCAGGUUCCUCAAUAGAGCCUGUAAAGUGCUUAGCCCUGAGUCAACAAAGAGCUUACUAGCACUGCUACACCUGGGCUUUUUCAGCAGUAUCCUCAGACAGUCAUUAUAUGCUACCUGAAGUUUGCGCAGGGUUUCCUUUUUGUAGCUGCCCCAUAAAGGGGCUGCAUACAUGGGGGUGCAGUAAGCACGAAACAAGCUCACUUUCACAUCAUCAGAACAGCAGUGGAACUUCCUGACCAACAUGUUUGCCUGGACAUACAACAUUCGUCUCUGCCUGUACAUGUCAGCAUCAUCUUCCAUCUUGUCAGUGAUGAUGUGCCCAAGAUAUUUCGUACAGUUGGAUACACAGAGGGAUUGCCCUGACAGGGCUACACCUGAUGAGCCCCUGUUUGCCAGUGACAAAGUCGGCAAGGCCAUGACCAGAUCAUGGUUCACGCACGUGUUUUGGGGAUCUGAAUGAAGGUUUCGAGCUGCUUCCUGAUGAUUCUCCAUCCGAGGAGCCCUGCACCGAUGGGGUCGGUGGAAUUCGGGGCGCCGAGUCAGGCGCAGUUCCCGUUUGGCCUUGUCGGCCAACAAAGGACUGUCCGUUGUACAACAUGGGUUUCGGCCACUAGGAGCUGUUUGUUCCUCGAGUGUGGCGAGACCGUUCCAUCCGCUCCCCUGCAUGCUGCCCGGGGAAGGCUCCGGCGAAGGGCGGCUCCGUUUCCCGUGCUGCUGUUGUGCUGUUCAAAAGGGGGCUCGCGUUCAGGAGCCGACCACGAGCACUCGCGGCAUAUCUGGCAUAUCCGAGGAGCGACAUUUGCAGGGUGCACCGUUUUGAGUCCCGCAAGCUGCAACCGUGUCCAUCAAAGCAUUGGUGGCAGGGGUCCAGGUGUACGUUCGGUGUGCGGAUCCUUCAUCAUGCAGCCUUCUGGGGAGCCCGUCUCGUAAUGAGCGGUGCACGGAAGCAGCGGGCGAAAGCAGACAAACAUCUUCCUAACACUCCACCUUUACUGCACAAACUACCACUGAGACAGGGGUGCUUCGUGCUAAGUCGACACCCUGCUCGAUAGUGUUUCUCAGGUUCUGCGGUGUAAAGGUCCCCCACUAUGAUAGUCCACACUAACUACCUUUUGUCCCCUCUCCUUCAUGCGCCAGUACCUGCUGUACUACCCCGGGCGACACCUGAUGAGCCCCUGUUUACCAGUGACGCAGCCGGCAAGGCCACGACCAGAUCGUGGCUCAUGCAACUCCACUAAAAUCUGUGCGAGUGCUAUGGCCUGUCCUCGGAGCCGUAUACGGCAUAUUCCUUCCGGAUCGGGGCGGCUGCUUCUGCUGUCCACGUCCGCGCUGGACGUCGUGGAAGCGCAGAACUCAUGAGCGCUUGAGAACAGAGACCGGGACCGUGUCGGGUGAUUCUUGCAGCCAGUACACAAGAGGCUUGCAUUGGAUAGCGCUCUGCAACUAUCUACUGUAGGCCGAGCAGCCGCUCGAGAAGAGGCCGAGCAGGGCGCUCAGGCCGAGCAGGGCGCUCAGGCCGAGCAGGGCGCUCAGGCCGAGCAGCGCGCUCAGGCCGAGCAGGUCUGAGACCUCCGGUGAUCAAUGUGGUCCGCAUGUAUCUUGUGGUUGGGUGGCUUCAUACAUUGCAAUGGUAGUAUGUCUCUUCGGAUCUCCAUGCAGCCGUGGUGAUCCGCAGACGUCCUUUGAUGCGAUACGUCACCAUCAGAAUCCAGUGUCUACAUGGGGACGUCCGUCCAGAUGCCCUGGGAACAGCGGGUGCACCGCUGAUUUGUCUCACACAUAGUUUUGUUGCUAGUAACAGUGGCGCGACGCUCCACUCUACACAUAGUAUAGACUGGCGGAGUGUCUGUGUUUUGGGGAUUUAACUUGUUGCUCCCUGCCUCAUGUCAUGCAUGCUGUAGUGA